This 301-nucleotide ribosomal RNA is filed under the name uncultured bacterium. RNAcentral describes it as "partial 16S ribosomal RNA". It matches the Rfam family "Bacterial small subunit ribosomal RNA", at positions 509 to 807 of the family's 1533-position model. The record is from RNAcentral.
CAGUCGCCGCGGUAAUACGAGGGGGGCAAGCGUUGUUCGGAAUUAUUGGGCGUAAAGGGCGCGUAGGCGGAUUGAUCAGUCAGACGUGAAAUUCCUGGGCUCAACCUGGGGGCUGCGUUUGAGACGGUCGAUCUAGAGUUUGGAAGAGGGUCGUGGAAUUCCCAGUGUAGAGGUGAAAUUCGUAGAUAUUGGGAAGAACACCGGUGGCGAAGGCGGCGACCUGGUCCUUGACUGACGCUGAGGCGCGAAAGCGUGGGGAGCAAACAGGAUUAGAUACCCCAGUAGUCCCUGUCUCUUAUAC